UUUUAAGGAAAUGUGAUUUUAUUAAUAUUCCUCCUUUAAAAAAGAGAGAAAAAAUAACUUGAUGUAAUCAAAUCAAAUGUUAGCAUAUUUUUGUUUUUGAAAAUUUCUUACUAAGAGAAUUGCUGAGUUAAAGUUGCAGGUGUGUGCAAGUGUUGGGAAGAAGCGCUGAUUCCAGGGCAGAGUGGCUGUGCUCCUUCCUCAUCUCCACUCACAGAAAUGCCAUCUUUUAUCUACUCAGAACUGACAUGGAGAUUCAGGUCAGCAGCCAGAGACUGUAAGCAUAUUGCAGUGGAUAUCCCUGCCUAGUCCGGAUUCUUUUUGCAACUUGUCUGCGAGGCAAGGAGGGAUACAGAUGUGCGAGUGAGGGGAAGUCCGCAGGAAGCCGGGUGAGGCAGGCUCAUCCCUCAUCACUCCGUGCGCACAGAGCAGCUCAGGCUCUCUCACUGGCAAUAGCAAGAGGAGUUAACUAACGUGCUGGGAGUAGGUGACGGCCCAUGGGACCACGACUGAAUGCAUUUGUACCUCUACAGGGUGAAUAAAGAAGGUGUAUUAUACUCCCUCUACAAGUAAGAAUCCUGAUGUCUAGAGAGGGCGUUUUAAAGAUAAAUGGUAAAACUGAACUGGAAAUCCAUCUGGCCGGCUGCCUGCUCUAAUGAAUAACCCCACUUUGGCUCGUGCAAUGUAAGCAGAAAGUUCUCUCCCGGCCUCUUUCGUCUGUCAUGAAUCUACAAGACAGCCGACAUAAUAUCUGGGCGACAACGGACUUCUUCCCUUUGGAAAGCAGUGUGGUGGCAGUGUCACAGGCAUCCUGUGUGUUUGCAGCAGGUUCCUUCCAGAAGCAGCUGAGGAAGACAGCAAGCAAGUGGCAUUUGGGGUCUUGUAUCAUGUUGGAACACAGCCGUAGUACAUAGACUUCCUGAAAAAAAGACUUCCAGGUAAAAACAUAUUGUGGACACGGUAACAAAUUGGAGAGGGUCAAGCAUCAGGAACACAUGUUCCCUUUUGGCUUCAA
This 1012-nucleotide long non-coding RNA is filed under the name Rhinopithecus bieti (black snub-nosed monkey). RNAcentral's name for it is "lncRNA (ENSRBIG00000046799.1)". The record is from RNAcentral. Lineage: Eukaryota; Metazoa; Chordata; Mammalia; Primates; Cercopithecidae.